RNAcentral lists this unclassified non-coding RNA (332 nucleotides) under soil metagenome. RNAcentral describes it as "partial contains 5.8S ribosomal RNA, internal transcribed spacer 2, and large subunit ribosomal RNA". The stretch from base 1 to 120 matches the Rfam family "5.8S ribosomal RNA", at positions 35 to 154 of the family's 154-position model. The record is from RNAcentral.
GAUGAAGAACGUAGCAAAAUGCGAUAAGUAAUGUGAAUUGCAGAAUUCAGUGAAUCAUCGAAUCUUUGAACGCACAUUGCGCCCGCCAGUAUUCUGGCGGGCAUGCCUGUUCGAGCGUCAUUUCAACCCUCAAGCACAGCUUGGUGUUGGGACUCGCGUUAAUUCGCGUUCCCCAAAUUGAUUGGCGGUCACGUCGAGCUUCCAUAGCGUAGUAGUAAAACCCUCGUUACUGGUAAUCGUCACGGCCACGCCGUUAAACCCCAACUUCUGAAUGUUGACCUCGGAUCAGGUAGGAAUACCCGCUGAACUUAAGCAUAUCAAUAAGCGGAGGA